AUGCAGCAGAAGGAGGAUAUUGAAACGGGUUUGGAGGAGUCCGCUCAGCAUUCGCAGACGGUGCAGCGCGUGCAGACUACCAAAAUGAAGGCGGAGGAUUUGCAACAAUACGCCAGCAAUGGGGCACCGUCUGAAGCGAGCUUGACGAAAGCAAGCUGUAAAACAUGGAGUUGGAGUCGAUAGACAAAUUCUUUUCGGCUUAACAAAAGAAUGCGGUAUCGGCUAUUGAUGGCUCCUAUGAGGAUCUGCGAGCAACUGGCGGCAAGCCAGCCAAGCAAGCAAGGUGCUCUCAGAGAUCGAUGGACGCCGGGCCCAGAACUGCACCAUCCUGCUCAGCAAGCUGAAGAUGAGCUAUAUGAAGAUAUCAAAGGCCAUUCUCCCGAUGGACAGCAACAAGAAGCUGAUACUCGACAUGGUCUAGCAGCUGCUAAAGUUCCCGCUCUCGGCGGAGGAGCGUGACUGUUGGAUGAGCAUAGCGAGGAUAUUGAGUCACUUGCCCGCACCGAUCGCUUCCUUUACGAAAUAUCAAAGAUUCCCCACUACGAGCAAAGGCUGAAGAGUUCACUACUGGAACUGCUUUAUGCCGACAUCAGCACUUCAGGGAGCAAUAAGAAUGGAAGUCAGCUGCAACAACAGCACCAACAGCAACACCCUCAAGCUGAACACACGCACGACGUUGGCCUUCCUGGAGAACGGCAUUACCACGGCAUCUCCAACGGGCAUUACCACGGUCACCCUAUCACCGGCAGCCAUCGAGCGGGACGCGGAGGGCAGGCCUUUGCGUCGAGGCUGUGCCCGUCGAGCAGAAGAUCCAGCAGGAGCUGCAGGACCUCAAGUUGCGCGAGACGGAGCUGAAGCGCCUGCACAAGAAUAACAGGAACAACAUACUGAAGGCUUCGCUAGACAAGCUCCAGCUCAGAACAGACGACGAGGCCAAUGCGGACGACGAUGACGAUUAGGACUCUGUGGUGGAGCACUGCUAUGGACCCGGA
Molecule: long non-coding RNA, 992 nt
Organism: Drosophila serrata
Lineage: Eukaryota; Metazoa; Arthropoda; Insecta; Diptera; Drosophilidae
Source: RefSeq, a predicted model, not a curated record